Molecule: ribosomal RNA, 253 nt
Filed under: uncultured prokaryote
Description: partial 16S ribosomal RNA
Rfam family: Bacterial small subunit ribosomal RNA
Source: RNAcentral
UACGUAGGGUGCGAGCGUUAAUCGGAAUUACUGGGCGUAAAGCGUGCGCAGGCGGCUUUGUAAGACAGAUGUGAAAUCCCCGGGCUCAACCUGGGAACUGCAUUUGUGACUGCAAGGCUAGAGUGCGUCAGAGGGAGGUGGAAUUCCGCGUGUAGCAGUGAAAUGCGUAGAUAUGCGGAGGAACACCGAUGGCGAAGGCAAUCCCCUGGACCUGUACUGACGCUCAUGCACGAAAGCGUGGGGAGCAAACAGG